RNAcentral lists this ribosomal RNA (734 nucleotides) under uncultured archaeon. RNAcentral describes it as "bacterial SSU rRNA". It matches the Rfam family "Archaeal small subunit ribosomal RNA", at positions 102 to 835 of the family's 1478-position model. The record is from RNAcentral.
GGAUAACCUACCCUUAGGACUGGGAUAACCCUGGGAAACUGGGGAUAAUACUAGAUAGGCAAUUUUUCCUGGAAUGGUUUUUUGUUUAAAUGUUUUUUCGCCUAAGGAUGGGUCUGCGGCCGAUUAGGUAGUUGGUUAGGUAACGGCUUACCAAGCCAUUGAUCGGUACGGGUUGUGAGAGCAAGAGCCCGGAGAUGGAACCUGAGACAAGGUUCCAGGCCCUACGGGGUGCAGCAGGCGCGAAACCUCCGCAAUGUGAGAAAUCGCGACGGGGGGAUCCCAAGUGCCAUUCUUAACGGGAUGGCUUUUCAUUAGUGUAAAGAGCUUUUGGAAUAAGGGCUGGGCAAGACCGGUGCCAGCCGCCGCGGUAACACCGGCAGCUCUAGUGGUAGCAGUUUUUAUUGGGCCUAAAGCGUCCGUAGCCGGUUUAAUAAGUCUCUGGUGAAAUCCUGUAGCUUAACUGUGGGAAUUGCUGGAGAUACUAUUAGACUUGAGACCGGGAGAGGUUAGAGGUACUCCCAGGGUAGAGGUGAAAUUCUGUAAUCCUGGGAGGACCGCCUGUUGCGAAGGCGUCUAACUGGAACGGUUCUGACGGUGAGGGACGAAAGUUAGGGGCGCGAACCGGAUUAGAUACCCGGGUAGUCCUAACUGUAAACGAUGCGGACUUGGUGUUGGGGUGGCUUUGAGCUGCUCCAGUGCCGAAAGGGAAGCUGUUAAGUCCGCCGCCUGGGAAG